CGACGCGCACGGUGAGUAACGCGUAUGUAAUCUACCUGUAACAGAGGGAUAACCCGGAGAAAUCCGGACUAAUACCUCAUAGCACAUAUUAUUCGCAUGAAUUUUAUGUUAAGAGACUCGGUUACAGAUGAACAUGCGUUCCAUUAGCUAGUUGGCGGGGUUACGGCCCACCAAGGCAACGAUGGAUAGGGGUUCUGAGAGGAAGGUCCCCCACACUGGUACUGAGACACGGACCAG
This 237-nucleotide ribosomal RNA is filed under the name uncultured bacterium. RNAcentral describes it as "partial 16S ribosomal RNA". It matches the Rfam family "Bacterial small subunit ribosomal RNA", at positions 105 to 334 of the family's 1533-position model. The record is from RNAcentral.